GACGAACGCUGGCGGCGUGCUUAACACAUGCAAGUCGAACGGAAAGGCCCUGCUUUUGUGGGGUGCUCGAGUGGCGAACGGGUGAGUAACACGUGAGUAACCUGCCCUUGACUUUGGGAUAACUUCAGGAAACUGGGGCUAAUACCGGAUAGGAGCUCCUGCUGCAUGGUGGGGGUUGGAAAGUUUCGGCGGUUGGGGAUGGACUCGCGGCUUAUCAGCUUGUUGGUGGGGUAGUGGCUUACCAAGGCUUUGACGGGUAGCCGGCCUGGGAGGGUGACCGGCCACAUUGGGACUGCGAUACGGCCCAGACGCCUACGGGAGGCAGCAGUGGGGAAUAUUGCACAAUGGGCGGGAGCCUGAUGCAGCAACGCCGCGUGCGGAAUGACGGCCUUCGGGUUGUAAACCGCUUUCGCCUGUGACGAAGCGUGAGUGACGGUAAUGGGUAAAGAAGCACCGGCUAACUACGUG
RNAcentral lists this ribosomal RNA (468 nucleotides) under uncultured bacterium. RNAcentral's name for it is "partial 16S ribosomal RNA". It matches the Rfam family "Bacterial small subunit ribosomal RNA", at positions 28 to 507 of the family's 1533-position model. The record is from RNAcentral.